AGCAUGUGCCUCGUCGCCAGGGGCAGGCCGCCACCGUUGUGCUCCUCCUCGCGUGCCCUGCCAUUAUAUAGCUCCUGCCGCUCAUCCCUGACCACCGUUGCGGCAACGACGACGGCGAGGAUGGAUACAAGGCGGCAGCGUCGUCUCCAGUGCAAUCCAGAGCGUGUCGUCCCCGCCGCCGAACCGGCUAGCUUUCCCACGUGACCACUCUAUCUACCGGCCGCCGCCACAUGGACUACACCAGACGCUAGCCCGGGGGCCAGAUCGAUGGCCGCAGGGGCUAGAUCGAUGGACGGCGAGAUCUUCACCCAGCGCGUUCUUCCUCUCCGCCGCCGCAUUGACUACAAAGGCAACUAGCCCGGGGGCCAGAUCGAUGGCCGUAGGGGCUAGAUUGAUGGACGGCGAGAUCUUCACCCAGCCUCCUUCCUCUCCGCCGCGCAGGUGCUGCCGGCGCGCACAGCGGCCAUGAUGCCGAAGGCUGGCGACCUGGUCGAAGAUGAGUAAAGACAGUCCUUGGAUUGCAUGAAGAGAUUCGAGCAUAACAUUCAGUGAUGUCAAGAAGUUUGAUAAAGCUAAGGUUGAACUUGAAGAAAUAGUUCACUCCUACGAGAUCCCAAGGAACCACUUUACCCUACUAAGCUGAGGCAAGAAGCCUACGGUAAAGUUGUCAAAAAAAAAAAA
Non-coding RNA from Lolium perenne, 681 nucleotides. The record is from RefSeq and is a predicted model, not a curated record. Lineage: Eukaryota; Viridiplantae; Streptophyta; Magnoliopsida; Poales; Poaceae.